UACGAAGGGGGCUAGCGUUGUUCGGAAUUACUGGGCGUAAAGCGCGCGCAGGCGGUUUCUCAAGUCAGUGGUGAAAGCCCGGAGCUCAACUCCGGAACUGCCAUUGAAACUGUGAAACUUGAGGACGAGAGAGGUGAGUGGAAUUCCCAGUGUAGAGGUGAAAUUCGUAGAUAUUGGGAAGAACACCGGUGGCGAAGGCGGCUCACUGGCUCGUUCUGACGCUCAGGCG
This 229-nucleotide ribosomal RNA is filed under the name uncultured bacterium. RNAcentral's name for it is "partial 16S ribosomal RNA". It matches the Rfam family "Bacterial small subunit ribosomal RNA", at positions 524 to 753 of the family's 1533-position model. The record is from RNAcentral.